RNAcentral lists this non-coding RNA (117 nucleotides) under Pan paniscus (pygmy chimpanzee). Lineage: Eukaryota; Metazoa; Chordata; Mammalia; Primates; Hominidae. The record is from Rfam by way of RNAcentral. RNAcentral also lists the same sequence under 1 other name.
GCCGGGCGUGGUGGCUCACGCCUGUAAUUCCAGCACUUUGGGAGGCUGAGGUGGGUGGAUCACCUGAGGUUGGGAGUUCAAGACCAGCCUGACCAACAUGGAGAAACCCCAUCUCUA